Molecule: transfer RNA, 73 nt
Filed under: Camelus bactrianus (Bactrian camel)
Lineage: Eukaryota; Metazoa; Chordata; Mammalia; Artiodactyla; Camelidae
Also listed under: 2 other names
Rfam family: tRNA
About the family: Transfer RNA (tRNA) molecules are approximately 80 nucleotides in length.
Source: Rfam by way of RNAcentral
GAGGGUACAGCUCAAGUGGUAGAGUGCCUGCCUAGCAUGCACAAGGUCCUGGGUUCAAUACCCUGUACCUUCU